CUGGGUGGAUUAGUGGCGAACGGGUGAGUAACACGUGAGCAACGUGCCCAUAACUCUGGGAUAACCUCCGGAAACGGUGGCUAAUACUGGAUAUCUAACAUGAUCGCAUGGUCUGUGUUUGGAAAGAUUUUUUGGUUAUGGAUCGGCUCACGGCCUAUCAGCUUGUUGGUGAGGUAAUGGCUCACCAAGGCGACGACGGGUAGCCGGCCUGAGAGGGUGACCGGCCACACUGGGACUGAGACACGGCCCAGACUCCUACGGGAGGCAGCAGUGGGGAAUAUUGCACAAUGGGCGAAAGCCUGAUGCAGCAACGCCGCGUGAGGGAUGACGGCCUUCGGGUUGUAAACCUCUUUUAGUAGGGAAGAAGCGAAAGUGACGGUACCUGCAGAAAAAGCACCGGCUAACUACGUGCCAGCAGCCGCGGUAAUACGUAGGGUGCAAGCGUUGUCCGGAAUUAUUGGGCGUAAAGAGCUCGUAGGCGGUUUGUCGCGUCUGCUGUGAAAUCCCGAGGCUCAACCUCGGGUCUGCAGUGGGUACGGGCAGACUAGAGU
RNAcentral lists this ribosomal RNA (551 nucleotides) under Pseudoclavibacter sp. RNAcentral's name for it is "bacterial SSU rRNA". It matches the Rfam family "Bacterial small subunit ribosomal RNA", at positions 83 to 647 of the family's 1533-position model. Lineage: Bacteria; Bacillati; Actinomycetota; Actinomycetes; Micrococcales; Microbacteriaceae. The record is from RNAcentral.